Molecule: transfer RNA, 63 nt
Filed under: Parapotamon spinescens
Lineage: Eukaryota; Metazoa; Arthropoda; Malacostraca; Decapoda; Potamidae
Description: tRNA-Ser
Rfam family: tRNA
About the family: Transfer RNA (tRNA) molecules are approximately 80 nucleotides in length.
Source: RNAcentral
GAUUAUUUAGUUUAAAAAAAACAAGUGUUUUGAAAACAUUAAAUAAGAAUUUCUUAAUAAUCA